Coccinella septempunctata (seven-spotted ladybird) is the source of this 440-nucleotide long non-coding RNA. RefSeq lists it as uncharacterized. The transcript has 3 exons. NCBI's taxonomy places the organism in Eukaryota, Metazoa, Arthropoda, Insecta, Coleoptera, Coccinellidae. The record is from RefSeq and is a predicted model, not a curated record.
UAUACAUAUUUAUCAAUACUAGAAUAAUUUUUUGAAAAAUUUCACAUUAUAUAGAUAUAACUAUUGGGUAUUCCAGAAACAAGAUGGUGAUAUAGCAUAAUUUUUCUCAGAAAAAAUUCAAAAUCUUGAAGGAAUGUUAUGAAGUUGUUGAAUAGUUUCGAAUGAUUUUUUGGAUUUUAAAACAAAUUUAUAUUAUCAUUAUUCCCCCGUUUAUUCGAUAUAUUUAAUAUACUAUUAUCGAUUCAAUAGGUACCACAUAUAAUAAUCUCCAGAAGGAUUUUGGACUUUGCGAAACUUAGAAGCUUCGAGCCGAAUCAUGAAGAGAAGGAAGAGAGGAGCAAGCAAAUUGAGUAAGCAAACGAGGAAGGGAAAGAAAGUUUUCGUUCCAGAUAUUUCUGAUGGAAUUGGAAUAGCAGGAACCAGCAAGGACAAAGUAAUGA